CCAUACAUGGGCGCAGUCUGAUGCAGCCAUGCCGCGUGAGUGAUGAAGGCCUUCGGGUUGUAAAGCUCUUUUGUUGAGGAAGAACUCGUGCCGGCUAAUACCUGGGUGCCUUGACGGUACCCAAACAAUAAGCACCGGCUAACUUCGUGCCAGCAGCCGCGGUAAUACGAA
RNAcentral lists this ribosomal RNA (171 nucleotides) under uncultured bacterium. Its description in RNAcentral is "partial 16S ribosomal RNA". It matches the Rfam family "Bacterial small subunit ribosomal RNA", at positions 366 to 529 of the family's 1533-position model. The record is from RNAcentral.